This 613-nucleotide ribosomal RNA is filed under the name Antennella ansini. RNAcentral's name for it is "partial 16S ribosomal RNA". It matches the Rfam family "Bacterial large subunit ribosomal RNA", at positions 1832 to 2598 of the family's 2925-position model. Lineage: Eukaryota; Metazoa; Cnidaria; Hydrozoa; Leptothecata; Halopterididae. The record is from RNAcentral.
AUUCUUUACACUCAUUAAAGAUGAUACCUGCCCAGUGGACAUUAAUAAUAAAUUUAAUAAUUUUUAAAUGGUUUAAACGGCCGCUGUAUUCUGACGGUGAUAAUGUAGGAAAAUAAAUAGUUGUUUAAUUGGCGAACGUAGGUGAAUGGUUCUACGAGAGUUUCACUGUCUUAAAUGUAAGAAGAAAAAUUUAAAUAAUAGUGAAGAUGCUAUUUUAAACUGUAAGACGAAAAGACCCUAUAAAGCUUAACUAUUAUUCUAUUAAAAAGUAUUUUAUAGAUUAUAUAUAUAUAUAUAUUGAUACAAGUAGGAAAGAUAGUUUUGUUGGGGCAACAGCAUUCUAAAAAAAAAGAAUGUAAAUUUAAAUUAACUAAAUAAUUUAUUUUAUUGUUUAAUGUAUAAAUUUAACAAUCACAAAGUGGAUUAUAAUGACCUAUCCUUAAAAAAAAAUUUUUAAGGAUAAUAAAUAAAUAAAAGCUACUUUAGGGAUAACAGGUUAAUUUAAUCUUAAAGAAGGCAUUGAAGAUUAAGUUUGACACCUCGAUGUUGAAUUAAGGUUACCUAGUAAGGCAGUUUUUACUAAAGGUUGGUCUGUUCGACCAUUAAUACCUUA